AACCACCCGAUCCCAUUGAGCACCCGGUUCCUCUGGAUCCCCUCCAUCACGCACGAGAUCGCCGCCACCCCUCAUAGAGAAGACGCCGCCGGAUCUCGUGCGAUCCCGCUGCCGCCGACUACGGGAUCGCCUCCACUGGAUCGCCGCCGCGGGUAUAAGGGGUCACGUCACCGCCGCCGCAGACGUAAGGGGUCACUCCAGCCGUAAUCCCCGAUCAUCGUCCAGCAGCUCACCGUCGGCGGCCGCGACCGCCUGAUUCCCUGUUGCGCGUCCCCUUCAAUCACGGUGGUGCUCCUCCCCGCAUCGCCGUCGUUGGUGGAGCUCGCCUCACCCUCCUCACCUCGUCGGCUGCAGCCGCACUUACCCUCCACGGUGCUCCUCUUCGGCAUCCACCGCAAGUCAGUGCACGGCGACAAUAGAAAUUUCAGUUCACGUGUAGAACGCCCGUUCAAUCUCUUGUUCAGGAGAUUAAAAUUGACCAAGGAAGCGGUGCCGGCCACCAGGAUCACGUACAUGAACACCUGAAUCUAUACAUCCAUCUCGAGCCUUGAUUAACAUGAUUAAUGGGCAACUCCAACUGUAAGUGCAGCCCUAUGUACGAAGAAAGAAAGCAAGGAUCUGGUGGAAGAAGUCGUUCGGUGGUGGACAAAUCAGUACGAAUACAAGUUACAUUAUGUCAGGGGCAAACGUUUCUUUUUCUAUGGCUUAAUUUCUCUGCUCUAUAUACAUGCCAACUAUCUUUAUAUAUUGUUUUCUAAAGCUUCUCUAUAUAUUGUUCUGCAAGAACUAGGGACUAACUAUGGCCAUGAUGUAAAGUGCUGAAACUCGAUCUUGUUCGACAUGUGAGGGUUGUCAAUGCCUGCAAGUGCUCAAACUCGAUUUUGUUUUACAUGAUGUGAAGUGCUAAAAAUCGAUUUUCUUUUUGUUUAUAUAUAUAUUGUUUUCUAAAGCUUCUUUCCGUGUUGAGCAUGCUUGGUUGUUGGACUGUGCAGGCUGGAGAGGAGACAGUGAGAUGUGGCAAACUGAAGGCAUGAGUUGAUUACCUUCUGUUGCUGAAAGGCGUAUUUGGAGUAUGAAGAUCCUGAGUUGUUGUUGAUUGUGUCUGCCUGAGCUAGCUAAAUUGUUUCAGAUACGUUAGUGUUGCUUUCCCGUUGUUUCUUCAAAUAUCAAUAUAGCAGUUUUGAAGUCAUGCCUGUUGUUUUCUUCAUUAGAGAUCCACACACCAAACUGAUAGGCAAGUAAACUCGCUUUUCACCCAUUGCAGUUCAUCAGCAAUCCUUGAAAAUUGCUGGAGUUUUUUUGUUUAUCAGCAGCCUUACCUUAUUAUUCUAUAAGGCAAUAGAAGGGUCUAUUAAUACCACAUCUGUAUACAUAGAUUUUGCUUAUUAAGUGACAAUUGCAUGAGUUCUUAUGUAAAGCUUCGAUCUCCUUAAGGUAAUGCUUUUUCCUCUUUUUCACAAGUGGGUUCAGCGGCAUCUUUUUCUUUAUAUACGUGUACAAUUUGUCUUAUUUUCCUUCUGGCCUGGUAUGCCACCAUUUCCAAAGCUGAGUUGUAAAUGAACAUAGAUACACCAAUUUUCCCUUUAAUGUGUGUACGAUGUUGAGAUGCCCGCAGGCCGUCGUCAUCCAGUCUCUUUAGUCUUAAACAAGGACUACUUUUUAUUCGUUCUAUUUUCAUAUUCAAACAAGUAAUUGUCUACUUAGUUAAGGGCCGUCCCGCACCUUGUUAAUAGCUGUUCAAAUAUGGUAUGAUAGUUUUGUUAUUUAAUUACUUUGCUGUUUCUUGUACGCAGAAAUUCUCCCAUAGGGGUUUGGAAUUGGAGAGUGCCAUAUAUUGGGGUGUAUUUGUGGCAAUGCAUUGUUAGUAAGGGUGAAAGAUUUUCUUUAAUUUACCUGUUGUGCUAAAUUGUUGAGAUGGUACCACUUAUUUAGCAUUCCAAAACAUAUGCGCUCAAUUGGUUAAGACGACUGGUAUGCUGGAAAUGAGAUUUUUCGUGGAGAUAUAGUUUUGAUAUAGUAAAUUUUUACUUGAUUCUUAAGCUAUGUGGUAAUGUCAUUAACAUAUAAUAAUAUUUUAUGCCUACCAUAUACUAUCCUUUCACAACAACUGUUUAUUUUUGAAAUUUUAAUAUUCUUUUGAUUCAGGUUAUACAGUUACAUGAUGAUGGCAGAUGGAUGUGUCCUUCGAAGAAUUGUCUAAAUAGAUAAAAAACAGUAACACUAAGUCUUGUAAGAUCUCACAAAAAAUAGUUCUUGAUGCUCGUCCGUUGCUACAGGCUCAUGAUCGUACAUUCCCAUGCGUUGUUAGUCGAAAUAGAGACGAAGCAUUAACAUAGGAAGGAUUUGUGAACUCUUUUUGUACAUCAAUAGGGGAGACAACCAAAGAUAAGUUAGUUCAUGUUUUUUCUUAGUAACACAGUUGUCACCAAGGUACGUCUAUGACUCCUAAUGUUGAAUUGUAUUAGCUGUCAUGGGCAUCCAGCAGUUCGAAAACAGUUGUAGUGCUGAUAAAUUAGUUCAUGUUUUUAUAUUAGUAAUACAAUGUGAUAAAGAAAAUCAUGUCCAGCAAUUAAUAAGCAGUCCAUCAUCCUUAUAUUUCUUGAUGGAGGGAAUAAGAUGCACUUGACAAUGCUUAGUUUUUUUAUCUUAUAUGUGUUGUGCUACUGCUAUUUCAGGAGGAAUAUGAAAAGGAGAUAAACGACACCAGGGCCUGGAGCUCACGUACGCUGAAGAGGCAUAAACUUUGGAUAAGGAGCUGAAGAAUGAGAAACUGAAGGCUGUUGUGGAGUAAAGAGCCUCAAGGAGAAACUAGAAAACAGACAGAUGACCCGCGGUCGAAGAGUGAGCUAGUCAGUAAUGGCGGGACUGACAUCGACAAGCCAUGACCUUGUUCUAGAGGACAAAAUCGUGCUCGCCAACAAUAGUGUUUCCAGGGAUGUGAUCUACAACGUCGAUGAGGCCAUGAAACAAUGUUUUUCUCCCGAGUGGAAGGAGAGGACAUGCAGUGGCGUUUUCGCAGCUGGAGGCGAGGUUGAGGAAGUUGAAUCAGGUUACGCUUUGGCAACAUCCACCCGAACUGCUUCAAAGAAUUACCAGGACGCCUUCGUGUUUUGUACUGUGUGCUGGAAUUGUCUUUCAGUAAGGCUUGCAUUGAUGCUUUUAUUAAAAGCAUGUUAUAUUUAGCGGUUUAUCUGCAAAACUUGUUCAGAAUUAAGUGAUGGUAGUGAUACAAAAAUUUAACUAUCACAACUUCUUUCAAUUAUAUUUAGAAAUGAGGCUAUAUAAAGCUUCCUUCUGUUCUAAGAUUUCAUGCCGUGGAUUUAUGUGAUGAUAGCAAUAUGUGUGAACCAAUAUGACACCGAGGAACUUUUGAGUUUAUA
This is a long non-coding RNA of Aegilops tauschii subsp. strangulata, 3380 nucleotides long. RefSeq lists it as uncharacterized. Lineage: Eukaryota; Viridiplantae; Streptophyta; Magnoliopsida; Poales; Poaceae. The record is from RefSeq and is a predicted model, not a curated record.